CCAGAAAUGGAUGGGUUCGAAGUGGCAACGCGAAUCCGGAAGAUCCGAAGUCGUAGUUGGCCAUUGAUUAUAGCUGUGACUUCCAGUGCUGAGGAUAAUGUUUGGGAGAGAUGCCUGCAGAUGGGAAUGAAUGGAAUGAUCCGAAAACCUGUUCUCUUACAAGGGAUGGCAGAUGAGCUUCAAAGAGUUCUUCAGCGGCCCGGCGAGGGAUGACCGGACAUUGUUUUAUAGAGCAAUCUUUCAAGGGUCAUCACUGCUCUUAAAUCAAACAAAUCCAGCAUGGAGAUGUUUAACUUUUAGCGUUAUACUUCAUGGUAUACAAAGUGUAAACUUUUACCUCUCUCUAACGCUAGAAUUUCAUAGAAUGGAUAAUGACUCAUGAGAAACAGCAAUUUUUAUAUAACAGCAAAAGGAACCUGAAAAAUUAUUCAGAGAAGUGAAAUAAUACAGAGACUAAAUCUUCCAGAUGUGCUCAAGCUAGUUGGAUAUUUCUUGGCCCAGUUGCUUUUACUAAUUGUUAUUUUAUACAGGUUAACAUGGUCUGUGAUUACUGUCUGCUACACCUUUCAUCUCUCUGAAAAAAUAGUAACUUCCAGCAUUCAGGAACAAAGGGUAGCCCACUCUGAUCAAACGUGAAACGUCAAAAACAUGAUUUUGAAUUGGGUCAGUCACUUGAGCUUAUAGUAGUCAGACCUGGCCUGGGGUCUGAUCUUAAAAUCUCGAAAAGAGCUCAAGUUAUGAGUUAAUCAAUCUGGAUUUUCAAAACUUUUUUUUUAGAAGGAAAGAUAUUUCCUAGUUUUGAUUUGGUUAAGUUUUAACAAGAGUAAAUUGGAUUGUAGGAAGAUUAUUUGGGAUUAACCAUAUUAAUAUCAAAAUUAAUAUAAAUUAAAACUUAACCCGAAUCUGAUUUUAAAUUACAUAUUUACUAAAUCAAAUCACCUUACUACAUCUAUAGUUAAGACAAUACACAUGCUACUAUAAGAUUACUUUUAACUUCGAAACCUUUUUGUGCUUAGAUGUAGGAGAAUGUUUUAUGAACUAUAAUUAUAAAGAUAUCAUUUAUUUUUGGGUUUGAAAAUGCAUUUAAGAAUGUUUUAAAAAUGUGUUUGAUUCAAAAGAAUAUUGAUGAUUUUUUAAUAUUUUUCAAUGAUUUUGAUAUGUUGAUAUUAAAAAAAAAAUUAUUUUUAUAUAUUUUCAAGUGAAAAAUACCUUAUACUAUAAUACCAAACACACAUACAUUUUUAUAGUAACCUUGUUAUUGAAAAAAAUAUGAAGAGAGCGUUCCCAAACGCGGUUUCAACCGCGUUCCCUCAAAUAUCAAUUUUUUUUGUUAAAAAUUAUUUUUUUAUAUUUUUAAAUUAUUUUAAUAUAUUGAUUUUAAAAAUAAUUUUUAAAAAUUAAAAAAAUAUCAUAAUUCCAAACAUGUCCGAAGUUUUGAUAUGUGAUAAGCCACAUGAAACAGUACACUUCCAACUCAAACAUCCAAUAAGUUUUCGUUUUAUUUCUUGGCAUUUUAUCCUGUCGUCUUCUUCAUUGCUUCUCUCCCACAUACAAUGAAAAAUGGACUGUGUCAAACUAUCAAUUAUCAGCCCAGUUGUCAUGCACAUUUCAUUUUACAUUUCCCUUCCCCUCGACAUGUACAAAAACACAGCCUGCAAAAACCAGCUAGCUGGGUCAACCUGGUGACUCAAAUCGAGUUUGCUUUUUAUGUAGGUAAAAAAAUUCAUCCAUCAAUUAAUUAGCGACUUAUUAAAUAAAAACUUAUUUAUUUUUAUGUUUUAAAAAUAUUUUUAAAAAUAAUUAAAUUAUUUUUAGAUUUUUUUAUUUCAAAUUAAUAUUUUUUUAGUGUUUUUAGUUCAUUUUAAUACGCUAAUAUCAAAAAUAAUUUUUAAAAAAUAAAAAAAUAUAUUACUUUAAUAUAUUUUCAAAUAAAAAUAAUAAACUAUUGUGAAAUCCGGUAAUAUCAACUCCCUAGAUUUUUUUUUUUAUUUUUUUUAUCUAAAAGAAUGUUGUGUAAGUUUUUCUUUAAAACAAUAUUAUUCAAUUAAAAAUAGAAAUUUAACAUGGCAACCCCACGACUUAUCUUUAGACUGACAAUUAGGAUAAAAAAACAAAAAACAAAAAACAAAAAACCACCAUCACCAUUCCUCAUCAAAUGGCUCAAAGGACACAACAUUAUUUUAGUGUGAUUGGUAAUGGAAAGCAAAGUAAUUUUUUUUUAAUGUUGUCAUUUAAUUAAAAAUAUAUUAAAAUAAUAUAUUUUUAUAUUUUUACAUUAAUAUAUUAAAAAAUACCUAAAAAUAUAUUAAUUGCUGAUGAUGAUGCUUUAAACAGAACCGUUACCAAGAAGUUGCUUGAGAAGUUAGGUUGUGAAGUGACUGCUGUUUCAUCCGGGUUUGAAUGCCUUAGUGCUCUUAGCUCUGCUGAAAAUUCUUUCAGACUAGUUGUUUUAGAUAUUCAAAUGCCAGAAAUGGAUGGGUUCGAAGUGGCAACGUGAAUCCGGAAGAUCCGAAGUCGUAGUUGGCCAUUGAUUAUAGCUGUGACUUCCAGUGCUGAGGAUAAUGUUUGGGAGAGAUGCCUGCAGAUGGGAAUGAAUGGAAUGAUCCGAAAACCUGUUCUCUUACAAGGGAUGGCAGAUGAGCUUCAAAGAGUUCUUCAGCGGGCCGGCGAAGGAUUGUGAAAAUAAGUCGUAAAGAUGGCCGGUCAUUGUUUUAUAGAGCAAUCUUUCAAGGGUCAUCACUGCUCUUAAAUCAAACAAAUCCAGCAUGGAGAUG
RNAcentral lists this long non-coding RNA (2774 nucleotides) under Populus trichocarpa (black cottonwood). RNAcentral's name for it is "long non-coding RNA (PTRI_LNC004356)". Lineage: Eukaryota; Viridiplantae; Streptophyta; Magnoliopsida; Malpighiales; Salicaceae. The record is from RNAcentral.